Molecule: ribosomal RNA, 338 nt
Filed under: uncultured Prevotella sp.
Lineage: Bacteria; Pseudomonadati; Bacteroidota; Bacteroidia; Bacteroidales; Prevotellaceae
Description: bacterial SSU rRNA
Rfam family: Bacterial small subunit ribosomal RNA
Source: RNAcentral
AGAGUUUGAUCCUGGCUCAGGAUGAACGCUAGCUACAGGCUUAACACAUGCAAGUCGAGGGGCAGCAUAACGAAAGCUUGCUUUUGUUGAUGGCGACCGGCGCACGGGUGAGUAACGCGUAUCCAACCUUCCCUAUAGUAGAGAAUAGCCCGGCGAAAGUCGGAUUAAUGCUCUAUGUUGUAUUUAGAAGACAUCUGAAGAAUACCAAAGGUUUACCGCUAUAGGAUGGGGAUGCGUCUGAUUAGGUAGUAGGCGGGGUAACGGCCCACCUAGCCGACGAUCAGUAGGGGUUCUGAGAGGAAGGUCCCCCACAUUGGAACUGAGCCAUGAUCAAACUC